Molecule: transfer RNA, 69 nt
Filed under: Rattus norvegicus (Norway rat)
Lineage: Eukaryota; Metazoa; Chordata; Mammalia; Rodentia; Muridae
Rfam family: tRNA
About the family: Transfer RNA (tRNA) molecules are approximately 80 nucleotides in length. Their secondary structure includes four short double-helical elements and three loops (D, anti-codon, and T loops). Further hydrogen bonds mediate the characteristic L-shaped molecular structure. tRNAs have two regions of fundamental functional importance: the anti-codon, which is responsible for specific mRNA codon recognition, and the 3' end, to which the tRNAs corresponding amino acid is attached (by aminoacyl-tRNA synthetases). tRNAs cope with the degeneracy of the genetic code in two manners: having more than one tRNA (with a specific anti-codon) for a particular amino acid; and 'wobble' base-pairing, i.e. permitting non-standard base-pairing at the 3rd anti-codon position.
Source: Rfam by way of RNAcentral
GGGGAUUUAGCUCAGCGGUAGAGCGCUUGCCUAGCAAGCGCAAGGCCCUGGGUUCGAUCCCCAACUCCG